This 405-nucleotide ribosomal RNA is filed under the name uncultured bacterium. RNAcentral describes it as "bacterial SSU rRNA". It matches the Rfam family "Bacterial small subunit ribosomal RNA", at positions 355 to 776 of the family's 1533-position model. The record is from RNAcentral.
UGGGGAAUCUUGCGCAAUGGGCGAAAGCCUGACGCAGCAACGCCGCGUGCGGGAUGAAGGCCCUCGGGUUGUAAACCGCUUUCAGCAGGGACGAAGAUGACGGUACCUGCAGAAGAAGCCCCGGCCAACUACGUGCCAGCAGCCGCGGUAACACGUAGGGGGCGAGCGUUGUCCGGAUUUAUUGGGCGUAAAGAGCUCGUAGGCGGUUCCGUCAGUCGGGUGUGAAAACUCUGGGCUCAACCCAGAGACGCCACCCGAUACUGCGGUGACUAGAGUCCGGUAGGGGAGUGCGGAAUUCCUGGUGUAGCGGUGAAAUGCGCAGAUAUCAGGAGGAACACCAACGGCGAAGGCAGCACUCUGGGCCGGUACUGACGCUGAGGAGCGAAAGCGUGGGGAGCGAACAGG